This 461-nucleotide ribosomal RNA is filed under the name uncultured bacterium. Its description in RNAcentral is "SSU rRNA". It matches the Rfam family "Bacterial small subunit ribosomal RNA", at positions 26 to 518 of the family's 1533-position model. The record is from RNAcentral.
AGAAUCAACGCUGGCGGCGUGCCUAACACAUGCAAGUCGAACGAGAAAGGGGUAGCAAUACCCUGAGUAAAGUGGCGCACGGGUGAGUAACACGUGACUAACCUACCCUGGAGUGGGGGAUAACUGAGGGAAACCUUAGCUAAUACCGCAUAAUACCUACGGGUCAAAGGAGCAAUUCGCUUUGGGAGGGGGUCGCGGCCGAUUAGUUAGUUGGCGGGGUAAUGGCCCACCAAGACGAUGAUCGGUAUCCGGCCUGAGAGGGCGCACGGACACACUGGAACUGAAACACGGUCCAGACUCCUACGGGAGGCAGCAGUGGGGAAUUUUGCGCAAUGGGGGAAACCCUGACGCAGCAACGCCGCGUGGAGGAUGAAGUACUUCGGUAGUAAACUCCUUUUCGAUCGGGACGAUUAUGACGGUACCGAGAGAAGAAGCCCGGCUAACUUCGCGCCAGCAGCCGC